RNAcentral lists this unclassified non-coding RNA (337 nucleotides) under soil metagenome. Its description in RNAcentral is "partial contains 5.8S ribosomal RNA, internal transcribed spacer 2, and large subunit ribosomal RNA". The stretch from base 1 to 120 matches the Rfam family "5.8S ribosomal RNA", at positions 35 to 154 of the family's 154-position model. The record is from RNAcentral.
GAUGAAGAACGCGGCGAAAUGCGAUAAGUAGUGUGAAUUGCAGAAUUCAGUGAAUCAUCGAAUCUUUGAACGCACAUUGCGCCCCAUGGUAUUCCGUGGGGCAUGCCUGUUCGAGCGUCAUUUACCCCCUCAAGCUCCGCUUGGUGUUGGGCGUCUGUCCCGCUUCGCGCGCGGACUCGCCCCAAAGGUAUUGGCAGCGGUCGUGCCAGCUUCUCGCGCAGCACAUUGCGCUUCUCGAGGCACCGGUGGGCCCGCGUCCAUCAAGCUCACCCCCCCAGUUUGACCUCGGAUCAGGUAGGGAUACCCGCUGAACUUAAGCAUAUCAAUAAGCGGAGGA